Molecule: ribosomal RNA, 734 nt
Filed under: Oceanobacillus sp. LAMA 706
Lineage: Bacteria; Bacillati; Bacillota; Bacilli; Caryophanales; Bacillaceae
Description: bacterial SSU rRNA
Rfam family: Bacterial small subunit ribosomal RNA
Source: RNAcentral
CUGCAGUCCAGCGCAGGAAGUUAUCUGAUCCUCUUUUAGAGGUGACGAUAAUGGAAUGAGCGGCGGACGGGUGAGUAACACGUACGCAACCUGCCUGUAAGACUGGGAUAACUCGUGGAAACGCGAGCUAAUACCGGAUAACACUUUUCAUCUCCUGAUGAUAAGUUGAAAGGCGGCUUUUGCUGUCACUUACAGAUGGGCCUGCGGCGCAUUAUCUAGUUGGUAAGGUAAUGGCUUACCAAGGCGACGAUGCGUAACCUACCUGAGAGGGUGAUCGGCCACACUGGGACUGACACACGGCCCAGACUCCUACGGGAGGCAGCAGUAGGGAAUCUUCCGCAAUGGACGAAAGUCUGACGGAACAACGCCGCGUGAGUGAUGAAGGUUUUCGGAUCGUAAAACUCUGUUGUUAGGGAAGAACAAGUGCCAUAGUAACUGAUGGCACCUUGACGGUACCUAACCAGAAAGGCACGGCUGACUACGUGCCAGCAGCCGCGGUAAUACGGAGGUGGCAAGCGUUGUCCGGAAUUAUUGGGCGUAAAGCGCUCACAAGCGGGUCAUUUAAUCUGAUGUGAAAUCCUACCGCUCAACCGUCAACGUGCAUUGGAAACUGGAGAACUUGAGUGCACAAGAGGAGAGUGGAAAUCUCGUGUAGCUGUGAAAUGCGUAUAGAAGUGGACGAACCUCAGUGGCGAAUGAGACUCUCUGGUUUGUAAGUGACUCUGAGGAUGAAG